CAGUGGCGAACGGGUGAGUAACACGUGGGCAAUCUGCCCCGCACUCUGGAACAACACCGGGAAACCGGUGCUAAUACCGGAUACGACACGCUCCCGCAUGGGGUGCGUGUGGAAAGCUCCGGCGGUGCGGGAUGAGCCUGCGGCCUAUCAGCUUGUUGGUGGGGUAAUGGCCUACCAAGGCGACGACGGGUAGCCGGCCUGAGAGGGCGACCGGCCACACUGGGACUGAGACACGGCCCAGACUCCUACGGGAGGCAGCAGUGGGGAAUAUUGCACAAUGGGCGCAAGCCUGAUGCAGCGACGCCGCGUGAGGGAUGAAUGCCUUCGGGUUGUAAACCUCUUUCAGCAGGGAAGAAGCGAAAGUGACGGUACCUGCAGAAGAAGCGCCGGCUAACUACGUGCCAGCAGCCGCGGUAAUACGUAGGGCGCAAGCAUUGUCCGGAAUUAUUGGGCGUAAAGAGCUCGUAGGCGGCCUGUCACGUCGGAUGUGAAAGCCCGGGGCUUAACCCCGGGUCUGCAUUCGAUACGGGCAGGCUAGAGUGUGGUAGGGGAGAUCGGAAUUCCU
This 565-nucleotide ribosomal RNA is filed under the name Streptomyces sp. 343C06. RNAcentral's name for it is "bacterial SSU rRNA". It matches the Rfam family "Bacterial small subunit ribosomal RNA", at positions 93 to 671 of the family's 1533-position model. Lineage: Bacteria; Bacillati; Actinomycetota; Actinomycetes; Kitasatosporales; Streptomycetaceae. The record is from RNAcentral.